GGAUUAGAUACCCUGGUAGUCCACACCGUAAACGAUGUCUACUAGCUGUGUGCGAAUGUAUAUUUGUGCGUAGCGCAGCCAACGCGAUAAGUAGACCGCCUGGGGAGUACGGCCGCAAGGUUAAAACUCAAAUGAAUUGACGGGGGCCCGCACAAGCGGUGGAGCAUGUGGUUUAAUUCGAUGCAACGCGAAGAACCUUACCUACACUUGACAUACUGAGAACUUUCCAGAGAUGGAUUGGUGCCUUCGGGAACUUGGAUACAGGUGCUGCAUGGCUGUCGUCAGCUCGUGCCG
This 294-nucleotide ribosomal RNA is filed under the name uncultured bacterium. RNAcentral's name for it is "partial 16S ribosomal RNA". It matches the Rfam family "Bacterial small subunit ribosomal RNA", at positions 775 to 1067 of the family's 1533-position model. The record is from RNAcentral.